UGAGCAAUCUGCCCUUCUCAUCGGAAUAAGCGUUGGAAACGACGUCUAAUGCCGAAUACGACCUCCUUUCGCAUGAUCGGAGGUGGAAAGCUCCGGCGGAGAAGGACGAGCUCGCGGCCUAUCAGCUAGUUGGUGUGGGUAAUGGCCCACCAAGGCGACGACGGGUAGCCGGCCUGAGAGGGUGACCGGCCACACUGGGACUGAGACACGGCCCGGACUCCUACGGGAGGCAGUAGU
RNAcentral lists this ribosomal RNA (237 nucleotides) under uncultured bacterium. RNAcentral describes it as "partial 16S ribosomal RNA". It matches the Rfam family "Bacterial small subunit ribosomal RNA", at positions 118 to 355 of the family's 1533-position model. The record is from RNAcentral.